AGGCGAGUUGCACAAACAAACUCAAGAACUCGAAUAGACCCCAAAGAACUAGGGUUUUCUAAAUCAGUUGAAUUCAGAGGCGAUAAAAAAAUAAAACAAAUAAACAGUCUUAGAAUCUCAAAUAAACCCCCAAAAUUAGGGUUUCAACACUAAUAUGGUGUAAACAAAGUAAAUCAAACAGAUAGACUGAGAAACUCAAACAAAUAUCCAAAAAUUAGGUUUUCGACACCUAUCAAACCUAGAGAUGAUAAACAAAUGAAUCGAACAAAAUAUUAACAAACAGACACAAAAACCCUAGUUUGAAAUAAAAAGAUUUUGAAAAGGAAAUUUGGGGAAAACGCUUCAAACAUCACAUAUAGCACAGAUCAAGC
RNAcentral lists this long non-coding RNA (371 nucleotides) under Nicotiana benthamiana. RNAcentral's name for it is "long non-coding RNA (NBEN_LNC020388)". Lineage: Eukaryota; Viridiplantae; Streptophyta; Magnoliopsida; Solanales; Solanaceae. The record is from RNAcentral.